AGAGCUAACGCAGGGAACUGAAACAUCUUAGUACCUGCAGGAAGAGAAAAUAAAUGAAUGAUUCCCCUAGUAGUGGCGAGCGAACGGGGAACAGCCCAAACCGUUGACGUCGCAAGGCGCCAGCGGGGUUGUAGGACCGCGACAUUGUAUGCAAAUCGUGAACAGAACACUUUGGAAAAUGUGACCAUAGACGGUGAUAGUCCAGUAUGUGAAGCGAAAUGCAGCAUAGCGGUAUCCUGAGUAACGCGGGACACGAGGAAUCCUGCGCGAAUCUGCCGGGACCAUCCGGUAAGGCUAAAUACUCCCGUGAGACCGAUAGCGAACGAGUACUGUGAAGGAAAGGUGAAAAGAACCCCGAGCAGGGGAGUGAAAUAGUUCCUGAAACCAUACGCCUACAAGCGGUCGGAGCAUCGCAAGAUGUGACGGCGUGCCUUUUGCAUAAUGAUCCUACGAGUUACCGUCACUGGCGAGGUUGAGUGUCAUGAGACACGUAGCCGCAGUGAAAGCGAGCCUGAAGAGGGCGCACAGUCAGUGGGGGUAGACGCGAAACCAAGUGAUCUACACUUGGCCAGGAUGAAGUCCCGGUAACACGGGAUGGAGGUCCGCACCAAUAAGCGUUGAAAAGCUUCUGGAUGAGCCGAGUGUAGGAGUGAAAGGCCAAUCAAACUUGGAGAUAGCUCGUACUCCCCGAAAGGCAUUUAGGUGCCGCGUCGGAUGGUCACCGUGAGAGGUAGAGCGACCGAUAGGACAAGAGGGCUUCACCGCCUAUCGAGUCCUGACGAACUCCGAAUGCUCACGGUCUGCAGUCCGGCAGUAAGGGGGCGGGUGCUAAGGUCCGUCCCCGAGAGGAGAAGAAUCCAGACCGCCGUCUAAGGUCCCGGAGUUCUGCCUGAGUUAGUCUAACGAAGUCUGGUCCCUAUGACAGCUAGGAUGUUGGCUUGGAAGCAGCCAUUCAUUCAAAGAGUGCGUAACAGCUCACUAGUCGAGGGUCCGGGCAUGGAUAAUAAUCGGGUAUAAGGCAGACACCGAAGGCGCGGGAUAGCAUUUAAGAAAGUAUCGGUAGGGGAGCAUACUCACAGCGUCGAAUGGUGUACGUAAGUUAUCCUGGAGCGGUGAGUAAAGCAAAUGUAGGAAUAAGUAACGAUAAGGAGGGUUAGAUUCCCUCCCGCUGUAAGACCAAGGUUUCCCGGGCAAUGCCAAUCAGCCCGGGGUCAGUCGGGUCCUAAGUCUAAGCCGAACGGCGAUGGCGAUGGCAGAGACGGUUAAUAUUCCGUCACUGCCGCAUGGGGCGACGUGGAGACGGAGCAGUGAAACCACCGCGGGGCGACGGAAGUCCCCGUUGAAGAGUGUAGGUGUUGAGGAUGGCAGGCAAAUCCACCGUCCGAGCUGAACUUGAUAGUAUGGAGUCUUCUUCGGAAGAAUCCAAUAGUGUGGGUAAUCAUACUCCCGAGAAAAUCCGCUAAGCUUAACCCAUGCGGCACCCGUACCGCAAACGGACACACGUGGUCGGGUAGAACAUACUAAGGCGUUGAGAGAUUCAUGGUUAAGGAACUAGGCAAAUUGACCCUGUAACUUCGGGAUAAAGGGUCCUCGUGAUGAGCGAGGCGCAGAGAAUAGGUCCAGGCAACUGUUUAACAAAAACACAGGGCUGUGCAAACUCGAAAGAUGACGUAUACAGCCUGACACCUGCCCGGUGCCGGAAGGUUAAGAGGAGAUGUCACCAGCAAUGGGAAGCAUUGAAUUGAAGCCCCGGUAAACGGCGGCCGUAACUAUAACGGUCCUAAGGUAGCGAAAUUCCUUGUCGGGU
Molecule: ribosomal RNA, 1807 nt
Filed under: human gut metagenome
Description: bacterial LSU rRNA
Rfam family: Bacterial large subunit ribosomal RNA
Source: RNAcentral